Molecule: long non-coding RNA, 776 nt
Organism: Neopelma chrysocephalum (saffron-crested tyrant-manakin)
Lineage: Eukaryota; Metazoa; Chordata; Aves; Passeriformes; Pipridae
Exons: 3
Source: RefSeq, a predicted model, not a curated record
UGUGUUCUGCUUUCCCAAGGGAUAGGGGAGUGGCUGACUGGCUGUGUAGGUAUUUGCCUACACAACCCAUUUUGCAGACAACCCACCAUAAGACUUUUUGUUGCAUAACACAGGGCUUAAGAAGUUCAAGAUAACAUCAGAUUUGUUUGUAGUCUGAAUUUAUAGCUGUUAUAACUGUUAUUUUGCAGGGUCUCAUGCUUGCCAUGAGGCUCGUUUAUUGUAUAUUAGAGUCUGUGGCUCGUUGAUGACUGUUUUUGCUGUUUCAGGUACUACUUAUUGUCUUAGUUUGUUAUGGUUGGCAACAUUUUGAUUAACAAUAUGUGCCUAAGUGCCUGGAUUGGCAUAUGACCCUAGCACUGCUGCCAUUCCUGUACUGCUGUACCAGACAUGCACAAAGUCAGCUAUGAAGAGCAGAAACACUCCUGAAAGGACUAUGGCCCAUGAGUAAGCCCGUACUGGAGCAGGCACACCCUCAAAGGAACCACAACCCAUGGAGGCUUCAUGCUGGCACAAAUGCAGUGUGUGGAUGGUGUUGCAAUAGUAACUCUAUUACCUGGAAAAGGGAAAAGGGGUGGAAAUUGUAGUGGAUAUAAAUUUAACCUGUUUUAACCCAUGGUUUGCGUUGGAUGUUGUAGGAAGUGCUGUAGCAGGAAAACCCAAGCAAAUGAAGGACCAACCUCACAAGAAGCUGAACAAGUGAACUGAUGACUCAGUUUGAGCUGUCUUUGCUUCUCAACAACACAAAAAGCCAUAGAUUCUAUUCUGAUCUUCUGUAA